GACGAACGCUGGCGGCGUGCUUAACACGUGCAAGUCGAACGGAAAGGCCCUGCUUUUGUGGGGUGCUCGAGUGGCGAACGGGUGAGUAACACGUGAGUAACCUGCCCUUGACUUUGGGAUAACUUCAGGAAACUGGGGCUAAUACCGGAUAGGAGCUCCUGCUGCAUGGUGGGGGUUGGAAAGUUUCGGCGGUUGGGGAUGGACUCGCGGCUUAUCAGCUUGUUGGUGGGGUAGUGGCUUACCAAGGCUUUGACGGGUAGCCGGCCUGAGAGGGUGACCGGCCACAUUGGGACUGAGAUACGGCCCAGACUCCUACGGGAGGCAGCAGUGGGGAAUAUUGCACAAUGGGCGGAAGCCUGAUGCAGCAACGCCGCGUGCGGGAUGACGGCCUUCGGGUUGUAAACCGCUUUCGCCUGUGACGAAGCGUGAGUGACGGUAAUGGGUAAAGAAGCACCGGCUAACUACGUGCCAGCAGCCGCGGUGAUACGUAGGGUGCGAGCGUUGUCCGGAUUUAUUGGGCGUAAAGGGCUCGUAGGUGGUUGAUCGCGUCGGAAGUGUAAUCUUGGGGCUUAACCCUGAGCGUGCUUUCGAUACGGGUUGACUUGAGGAAGGUAGGGGAGAAUGGAAUUCCUGGUGGAGCGGUGGAAUGCGCAGAUAUCAGGAGGAACACCAGUGGCGAAGGCGGUUCUCUGGGCCUUUCCUGACGCUGAGGAGCGAAAGCGUGGGGAGCGAACAGGCUUAGAUACCCUGGUAGUCCACGCUGUAAACGGUGGGUACUAGGUGUGGGGUCCAUUCCACGGGUUCCGUGCCGUAGCUAACGCUUUAAGUACCCCGCCUGGGGAGUACGGCCGCAAGGCUAAAACUCAAAGGAAUUGACGGGGCCCCGCACAAGCGGCGGAGCAUGCGGAUUAAUUCGAUGCAACGCGUAGAACCUUACCUGGGUUUGACAUGGAUCGGGAGCGCUCAGAGAUGGGUGUGCCUCUUUUGGGGUCGGUUCACAGGUGGUGCAUGGCUGUCGUCAGCUCGUGUCGUGAGAUGUUGGGUUAAGUCCCGCAACGAGCGCAACCCUUGUUCACUGUUGCCAGCACGUUAUGGUGGGGACUCAGUGGAGACCGCCGGGGUCAACUCGGAGGAAGGUGGGGAUGACGUCAAGUCAUCAUGCCCCUUAUGUCCAGGGCUUCACGCAUGCUACAAUGGCUGGUACAGAGAGUGGCGAGCCUGUGAGGGUGAGCGAAUCUCGGAAAGCCGGUCUCAGUUCGGAUUGGGGUCUGCAACUCGACCUCAUGAAGUCGGAGUCGCUAGUAAUCGCAGAUCAGCAACGCUGCGGUGAAUACGUUCCCGGG
This 1343-nucleotide ribosomal RNA is filed under the name uncultured bacterium. Its description in RNAcentral is "16S ribosomal RNA". It matches the Rfam family "Bacterial small subunit ribosomal RNA", at positions 28 to 1378 of the family's 1533-position model. The record is from RNAcentral.